Molecule: ribosomal RNA, 253 nt
Filed under: uncultured bacterium
Lineage: Bacteria
Description: partial 16S ribosomal RNA
Rfam family: Bacterial small subunit ribosomal RNA
Source: RNAcentral
UACGUAGGGGGCAAGCGUUGUCCGGAUUUAUUGGGCGUAAAGAGCGUGUAGGCGGCCAGAUAGGUCCGUUGUGAAAACUCGAGGCUCAACCUCGAGACGCCGAUGGAAACCAUUUGGCUAGAGUCCGGAAGAGGAGAGUGGAAUUCCUGGUGUAGCGGUGAAAUGCGCAGAUAUCAGGAAGAACACCCGUGGCUAAGGCGGCUCUCUAGUACGGUACUGACGCUGAGGCGCGAAAGCCAGGGGAGCAAACGGG